AGAAGACCUCCCUUAGAUCUGCUGCUUGUUCAAACGCAGGUUGUAAAAAAGCGGGAUGACGUAUUGACCGUCACCCCGC
RNAcentral lists this small RNA (79 nucleotides) under Aquipseudomonas alcaligenes. Its description in RNAcentral is "Pseudomonas alcaligenes Pseudomonas sRNA P31". It matches the Rfam family "Pseudomonas sRNA P31". Lineage: Bacteria; Pseudomonadati; Pseudomonadota; Gammaproteobacteria; Pseudomonadales; Pseudomonadaceae. RNAcentral also lists the same sequence under 1 other name. The record is from RNAcentral.